GUGGCCCCCGCGGUUGCCAUGGAGAGCGGGGGAGAGGGGCGCGCGUGACCGCGGCCCCUCCCUUCUCCUCCCGGGCUCGCCCGACGGAUCUCCUGUGUGUGCAUUAAUACCAAGCCACAUCCCAAUCCAAGCCCACAUGGCAUUUUUCAUGGAGGCGGUAGAUGUCUACAGAAAAGAUGCAGAAGAUGAUGAUGAAAAAUCUUCCUU
This is a long non-coding RNA of Calypte anna (Anna's hummingbird), 207 nucleotides long. RefSeq lists it as uncharacterized. The record is from RefSeq and is a predicted model, not a curated record. The transcript is spliced from 3 exons. NCBI's taxonomy places the organism in Eukaryota, Metazoa, Chordata, Aves, Apodiformes, Trochilidae.